GCACCCGUAGCUCAGCUGGAUAGAGCGCUGCCCUCCGAAGGCAGAGGCCAGAGGUUCGAAUCCUCUCGGGUGCGCCACUUCCCCGACGGCGUAUGGGCAGUGCAAGGACCUGGGUGGGGCAGUGGCGUCAGCUGUGUUGGCGCAUCCGGUCCAGGACUUCGCCGGCAUAGGUCCCGCGCAGCGGGCCGUAGAGAUGGAAUUCGCGUAAUCUCUCCCCGUCAUUGAAUGAGUCAGCUCCCCGAGAAAUGCCUCGCCGCAGCUCGUACAGGACUGCCUCCAACAACCGUUCGUUUACUGUCCGUCCAACAUGGCGUAACGCUUCGACGAUGUCAUCCAGGCGCUCCAUGCUGUAGGGCCGUCGCAGGUGCCAGAACCGCUCUAGUUGUUCACUUAAUCUUCUUUCCGUGCAAUUCAGGGAAAGGAGGAGCGUUCCAUGGGACAAUCACCGACAGCAAAGAAGCGCGGGUCGCGGGAUGCG
RNAcentral lists this transfer RNA (478 nucleotides) under Albidovulum inexpectatum. RNAcentral's name for it is "partial tRNA-Arg". The stretch from base 1 to 74 matches the Rfam family "tRNA". Lineage: Bacteria; Pseudomonadati; Pseudomonadota; Alphaproteobacteria; Rhodobacterales; Paracoccaceae. The record is from RNAcentral.